UAAAUAAUGAUUGGAACAGGUGCCGAAAGGCCUAAUAGAGAAGCUGGUUAAAUGCCAGCACGGUCCCGCCACUGUAUCAGGGAGCGAGUCACAAUUAUGUCACUGGAUUUUAUCUGGGAAGGCGUGAUGAGCGAUGAUCUGGAGUCAGGAGAACUGCCUGUUUAACAAUCACCGU
Molecule: non-coding RNA, 175 nt
Filed under: Anaerovibrio lipolyticus
Lineage: Bacteria; Bacillati; Bacillota; Negativicutes; Selenomonadales; Selenomonadaceae
Source: RNAcentral